AUACGGAGGAUCCGAGCGUUAUCCGGAUUUAUUGGGUUUAAAGGGUGCGCAGGCGGCCAUUUAAGUCAGCGGUUAAAUCGUGGGGCUCAACCCCAUUCUGCCGUUGAUACUGGGUGGCUUGAUUGCGGUCGAGGUUGGCGGAAUUCGUUGUGUAGCGGUGAAAUGCAUAGAUAUGACGAAGAACACCGAUUGCGUAGGCAGCUGACCAGACCGCAAAUGACGCUCAUGCACGAAAGUGCGGGGAUCGAACAGGAUUAGAUACCCUGGUAGUCCGCACAGUAAACGAUGAAUACUUGUUUUCGGCGAUAUAAUGUCGGAGGCAAAGCGAAAGCGAUAAGUAUUCCACCUGGGGAGUGCGCCGGCAACGGUGAAACUCAAAGGAAUUGACGGGG
This 392-nucleotide ribosomal RNA is filed under the name uncultured bacterium. RNAcentral describes it as "partial 16S ribosomal RNA". It matches the Rfam family "Bacterial small subunit ribosomal RNA", at positions 523 to 918 of the family's 1533-position model. The record is from RNAcentral.